This 405-nucleotide ribosomal RNA is filed under the name uncultured organism. RNAcentral describes it as "bacterial SSU rRNA". It matches the Rfam family "Bacterial small subunit ribosomal RNA", at positions 45 to 433 of the family's 1533-position model. The record is from RNAcentral.
UACUUAACACAUGCAAGUCGAGCGAGGAUCGCAGCGUGGGCAACCAUGUUGUGGUCUUAGCGGCGCACGGGUGAGUAACACGUGGGUAACCUGCCCUCGAGACCAGGACAUCUCCUCGAAAGGGGGGCUAAUACUGGAUACGUUCCUCGGGUUGCGAAAUCUGGGGAGGAAAGGUGGCGCAAGCUGCCGCUCGUGGAGGGGCUCGCGGCCUAUCAGCUUGUUGGCGGGGUAAUAGCCCACCAAGGCGAUGACGGGUAGCUGGUCUGAGAGGACGACCAGCCACACGGGGACUGAGACACGGCCCCGACUCCUACGGGAGGCAGCAGUGGGGAAUUUUCCGCAAUGGGCGAAAGCCUGACGGAGUGACGCCGCGUGGGGGAUGAAGGCCUUCGGGUCGUAAACCCC